GGGAACUAUCACAGGAAAGAGAAUGGAAUCAAGAAUGACCACGGGCUCUUCUUGAAGUCACAGGGACAAAAACCUCCUAGCCAGAUAAAUGUAUAAGAAGAAGAGCCAUAGAAAAUAUUUAUAAAACACCAUUUUCCUUGCUAACAUUAUAGAUAGCUCUCUUCCUCUCCAGUCAUUUUCUUUAAAAAAAGGUUUUAAAUCUUGUCUUCAAGUUACCUGAGCUAAACAAUAUCAUUCACAAAACAUUUUUACCUUUUCAGCAUUGGAACGAAUACAUUUCACAAAAUACGGUUCUGCUUGACCUAGUGUCUCCAUCAGCUUGCUUAAUGAUGCCUACAAUUCAAAGUAAUAAAUUCAAAAUUAACAGACACCGGAGGCACUGACAUCUGGGACAUCUGGCCUCAUCCCUAACUUGAACACCCGCUUCCUGUGCACUAGGCUAGCUAGAGGAAUCUUAAGCUUCCCUGAAAGCAACCAUAGCUCUGAAAAAGGCUCGGAGAACUGCCCACCGGAAAACAGCCACAGGAUCAAUUCCAAUCAUCCCAGAGAUAAAUGCAUUCUUGCUACUUCUCAGAAGAGCUACAAUGUCUGGCCGCAUAUGAUCUGUAUUUUUUUCCCGGAAAUCCUGUUUCAGAAAAGUACUAACAGUUAUUUGGGAAAAGAUGCUAAUAUCAAGAGGAUGACAGAUGACAUAUUUGAUGUGUGGCUGAAUAAAGAUAAUAAAAGUGAACUUUCUUCUAGGUAACUAAAUGAAACAGCUAUCUUCUAUAAAGUACCAGCUGAUUCUAAAAGUACUGAAUUCUGUAAUACAUAUGUUAGAAUAUUUCACAAUUUUAGCACAGCUUUUUAGGUAAUGAUUAGGGUCAGCCUUUCCAAAGGGAUGUAUUACAGAAAAUGGUUAUGGACAGAAAACGAAAAGGAGCCAACAUAAGACCAGGAAGAGCACUGCAAGCAAAUGAGCAUAUCAGCUACUCUUUGUAGCAAUAAAUUGACCAAGUUAAGAGAAAAACAAUAAGGCCAGGGGCUGGAGAAUUGUGGUGAAAAGGUAACUGGUAGAAAAUUAGGCAAAUAAUAGCACAUUUAGGCUCUGUUAGACUGAGUUAAGAAUUUUAUUAUACUUCAUGUAAACGUAAAGCAAAGCAACUAGGUAAUGACAGCAGCCAACUGGUGUUUUAUGAACAUCUGCUGUUGUAUAAGAAGAAAAGAGUAUACAUAAGAAAUAGAAAAAGGGAGAACAAAUACUGUGCUAACCACAGAAGAACCAUCUGUCAGUGGCUUGGGGUAGGUAGGUAAUAAAAUAAAUAGCAAAGAAUUAUCAUAUUCAGGGUAUGUUUAGGAGAUAAAGGCAAAGGACUUCCUGAUGAAUUAGGGUAUGAGAAUGCAGAAAUUAUAUUAACAGCCAGGCGUGGUGGCUCACGCCUGUAAUCCCAGCACUAGGGAGGCUGAGGCAGGAGGAUGCUGUGAGUUUGAGAACAGCCUGGGCUACACAGUGACUUCCACGUCAGUCUCAACUACACAGUGAGACCCUGUCUCAAAAAACGAAAAAAGAAAAGAAAUUAGAUUAAUACCUUUAUGCCCCUAUGCACAGUAAGUGGAAGUGCAGGGAUCAAACACAGCUACCCACAGCACAACUAUACUACAUUUGCAUAGAAUUUCUUUAUGAGUGAUUAGAAAU
This is a long non-coding RNA of Fukomys damarensis (Damara mole-rat), 1675 nucleotides long. Lineage: Eukaryota; Metazoa; Chordata; Mammalia; Rodentia; Bathyergidae. The record is from Ensembl.